UACGUAGGGUGCGAGCGUUAAUCGGAAUUACUGGGCGUAAAGCGUGCGCAGGCGGUUUUGUAAGCCAGAUGUGAAAUCCCCGGGCUUAACCUGGGAAUGGCAUUUGGGACUGCAAGGCUGGAGUGUGGCAGAGGAGACUGGAAUUCUCGGUGUAGCGGUGAAAUGCGUAGAUAUCGAGAGGAACACCUGCGGCGAAGGCGGGUUGCUGGGCUGACACUGACGCUGAGGCGCGAAAGCCAGGGGAGCGAACGGG
RNAcentral lists this ribosomal RNA (253 nucleotides) under uncultured bacterium. RNAcentral's name for it is "partial 16S ribosomal RNA". It matches the Rfam family "Bacterial small subunit ribosomal RNA", at positions 524 to 776 of the family's 1533-position model. The record is from RNAcentral.